CCAUCAGCAAUUUGCAGUUGCCAUUUGUCACCCCCAAUCUCGAGACCCCUCUUAAUUAGACCCCGUUUCACACGCUCUCGCUCUUUAUGGCUCCUUAAAGUUCUCGCACGCACGCUCCUCUACUCCGUGCGGCCUUUCUCUCGGAGCAACCGUCCGCUCUUCCCUUCUCUGCGUCCUUCUUUUUCAUGGCAAACCCGGAGUGCGGGCACGAAAUAAGAGACGUG
Molecule: long non-coding RNA, 224 nt
Filed under: Eucalyptus grandis
Lineage: Eukaryota; Viridiplantae; Streptophyta; Magnoliopsida; Myrtales; Myrtaceae
Description: long non-coding RNA (EGRA_LNC007157)
Source: RNAcentral